This 440-nucleotide ribosomal RNA is filed under the name uncultured bacterium. Its description in RNAcentral is "partial 16S ribosomal RNA". It matches the Rfam family "Bacterial small subunit ribosomal RNA", at positions 338 to 795 of the family's 1533-position model. The record is from RNAcentral.
CCUACGGGAGGCAGCAGUGGGGAAUAUUGCACAAUGGGGGAAACCCUGAUGCAGCGACGCCGCGUGAGUGAAGAAGUAAUUCGUUACGUAAAGCUCUAUCAGCAGGGAAGUAAAUGACGGUACCUGAGUAAGAUGCUCCGGCUAACUACGUGCCAGCAGCCGUGGUAAUACGGAGGGGGCAAGCGUUAUCCGGAUUUUCUGGGGGUAAGGGGAGUGUAGACGGUUCGCCAAGUCUGGUGUGAAAUGCUGCAGCUUAACUGCGGAACUGCUUUGGAAACUGGCGAACUAGAGUGCAGGAGGGGUAAGCGGAAUUCCUAGUGUAGCGGUGAAAUGCGUAGAUAUUAGGAAGAACACCGAUGGCGAAGGCAGCUUACUAGACCGUAACUGACGUUGAGGCUCGAAAGCGUGGGGAGCAAACAGGAUUAGAUACCCUUGUAGUC